GGGAGGAUUCAUUAUGUGACAGCUCCAGCUGCUGCCACAUCGUCAUUGCUGAUUGUGGACACCAAGGGGAGAUGCAGUGCUUUAAGCUCUCAGGGGCCACCGUACCAAGGGCCUUCUCUGUUUUGGCCCCCACUCUUUGGAGCAACAUCCCUGAGGAGAUUAGACCGCGAUGAAAACAUAGAAGGUCUUCACCCGUCCUCCUCCUCCAGUAUCCUUUGAGAAUGUAGAUCUGUUAUUGCCAGCAAUGGGAACUAGUCCAGCUCUUGGCAAAUGUCUUUUGGGAGAGAUGGAGGCGAGAAAUAAAAUAAAUAAAUCAUAAUUUAAGACCUGCCAUUUUGUCUUGAGAUUUUGCACAAGUUGCAACUCGUCCUGUU
This is a long non-coding RNA of Seriola aureovittata, 374 nucleotides long. RefSeq lists it as uncharacterized. Lineage: Eukaryota; Metazoa; Chordata; Actinopteri; Carangiformes; Carangidae. The transcript has 3 exons. The record is from RefSeq and is a predicted model, not a curated record.